Myodes glareolus (Bank vole) is the source of this 981-nucleotide non-coding RNA. The record is from RefSeq and is a predicted model, not a curated record. Lineage: Eukaryota; Metazoa; Chordata; Mammalia; Rodentia; Cricetidae.
AGGAGCCAGAAUGAUGCCUGUGGUGCGCUGGGGUUGACUGAUGCAAGGACAGCAGGAGAAUUCUGGGGAGGAGGAAGUUGAUUCCUCCCACUCCUGCCCAGAUCACCGAAGCCACAGGAUGUGAGCUGCCCCACUGAAAAAGAACCUGAAGGCUGCUAACACAGACCCUACAGCCCCACCCUAUGACUCCCUGCUCAGGGCAGUGGCUCUGAUGCCGGCUCCCUGAGCUCCUUCACCUCCUCAGCCUCCAACCAGGACCAGGACUACAACUACCUUACUGAAUAGGGAAGUCGAUUCAAGAAACUGGCUGACAUGUACGGUGGUGGUGAGGAUGACUAGGCUGCCCUGCCGAGCUGUCCAGCAAGAACUGAAGAUCCGGUCACAAGGGGAACCUCGCUUCCACUUCGCAAGGACUCUAGAGCUUGCCAGGAAGCGACCUGAGAGGCAUGCUGCAUCUGACAUGAAGGCCGGACUGUAGCCUCUGAGAUGAAAGGGUGUGGCACCGACUUCAGCACUGAUCCCCUCUCAGCCAGGGUAGGGCUGCUUCCAAGGCUGAACUUGCAGAGGUCUCCCACCUGCCACUCCGUGCUCCACCCCGCCCUCCUCAGGGCCUCCUCGCUCUGACGUUCUUCAUGACUUUCCCACGGUUCCUUCUCUUUGGAAAGAGGCCUCUUUCUGCAGCCCCCCCUUUUUUUUUUUCUUAUGCGGUUUUUAAAAAGUUAGAAGCUGGAAGGGCAGGGUCAGUGUCCCCUCCGGCCCUCUGCAAGAGAAGCCUGCCAGGCUCGCUGGUCCUGGUUUGUCUGAUCUCUGGGCCUUGAGGCCUCACACUGGGAUGGAUUACUGCUUUAUUAUUAUUUUUUUUAACUGAGUAUGUCUAGUUGUCUUGCAUUUUUUAUUUUCUCUGUUGUGUCCUGUGGGUGGACAGUGAUGACAAUCAUGUAUAUGUUCUAGAAUUUUUUUAUUAAACAAACUUUUCCCAGA